CAGUAGCCGCGGUAAGACGGAGGAUGCAAGCGUUGUCCGGAAUGAUUGGGCGUAAAGCGUCUGUAGGUGGCUUUUCAAGUCCACCGUCAAAUCCCAGGGCUCAACCCUGGACAAGCGGUGGAAACUACCAAGCUGGAGUACGGUAGGGGCAGAUGGAAUUUCCGGUGUAGCAGUGAAAUGCGUAGAUAUCGGGAGGAACACCUGUGGCGAAAGCGGCUCACUGGACCAUUUCUGACGCUGAUGCACGAAAGCUAGGGGAGCAAACAGGAUUAGAUACCCCAGUAGUCCCUGUCUCUUAUAC
Molecule: ribosomal RNA, 301 nt
Filed under: uncultured bacterium
Lineage: Bacteria
Description: partial 16S ribosomal RNA
Rfam family: Bacterial small subunit ribosomal RNA
Source: RNAcentral